This 410-nucleotide ribosomal RNA is filed under the name uncultured bacterium. RNAcentral's name for it is "bacterial SSU rRNA". It matches the Rfam family "Bacterial small subunit ribosomal RNA", at positions 28 to 424 of the family's 1533-position model. The record is from RNAcentral.
GAUGAACGCUAGCUACAGGCUUAACACAUGCAAGUCGAGGGGAAACGAUAGAGAAAGCUUGCUUUUUCUAGGCGUCGACCGGCGCACGGGUGAGUAACGCGUAUCCAACCUGCCCAUCACUUGGGGAUAACCUUGCGAAAGUAAGACUAAUACCCAAUGACGUCUCUAGAAGACAUCUGAAGGAGAUUAAAGAUUUAUCGGUGAUGGAUGGGGAUGCGUCUGAUUAGCUUUGUUGGCGGGGUAACGGCCCACCAAGGCGACGAUCAGGUAGGGGUUCUGAGAGGAACGGCCCCCCACAUUGGAACUGAGACACGGUCCAAACUCCUACGGGAGCAGCAGUGAGGAAUAUUGGUCAAUGGACGAGAGUCUGAACCAGCCAAGUAGCGUGCAGGAUGACGGCCCUAUGGGUU